CUUGUUACGACUUCACCCCAAUCAUGAGUCAUACCUUGGGCCGCUGCCCCCCUUGCGGGUCGGCGUGCAGACUUCUAGUACAACCCACUUUCGUGAUGUGACGGGCGGUGUGUACAAGGCCCGGGAACGUAUUCACGCUAUCGUUCUGAUAUAGCAUUACUAGCGAUUCCAGCUUCACGCAGGCGAGUUGCAGCCUGCGAUCCGAACUGAGGACGGUUUUUGGCGAUUAGCUCCCCCUCGCGGGUUGGCAGCGCUUUGUACCGUCCAUUGUAGCACGUGUGUGGCCCUGGACAUAAAGGCCAUGAUGACUUGACGUCAUCCCCACCUUCCUCCAACUUAUCGCUGGCGGUCUCCUGAGAGUUGCGCCUUGCGGCAUGCCAACACAGGACAAGGGUUGCGCUCGUUGCGGGACUUAACGCAACAUCUCACGACACAAGCUGACGACAGCCAUGCAGCACCUCGACUCCAG
RNAcentral lists this ribosomal RNA (469 nucleotides) under uncultured soil bacterium. Its description in RNAcentral is "partial 16S ribosomal RNA". The record is from RNAcentral.